RNAcentral lists this small RNA (84 nucleotides) under Mesonia algae. Its description in RNAcentral is "Flavo-1 RNA". The record is from RNAcentral. Lineage: Bacteria; Pseudomonadati; Bacteroidota; Flavobacteriia; Flavobacteriales; Flavobacteriaceae.
UUUUUGCGUUAGGGAUUGAGCGGUUUGUCUGAGCUCUUUUGUUUUGAUAAAAACAAAAAGCGAGUAGCGAAAGCCCGACCCGUA